GGCUCCGUGCUUAAGAGGAAAAAGUCGAACGCGAAAGGGGCUUCCGCCCUGAGUAGAGUGUUAACCGGGUGAGUAACGCAUGGGUGACCUACCCUCGAGUGGGGGAUAACGUUCCGAAAGGGACGCUAAUACCGCAUGACAUCCCGCCCUUGAACGGGUGGAGAUCGAAGCCGGGGAUCGCAAGACCUGGCGCUUGAGGAGGGGCCCGCGUCCGAUUAGCUUGUUGGUGAGGUAACGGCUCACCAAGGCGACGAUGCGUAGCCGGCCUGAGAGGGUGACCGGCCACACUGGGACUGAGACACGGCCCAGACUCCUACGGGAGGCAGCAGUGGG
Molecule: small RNA, 333 nt
Filed under: uncultured bacterium
Lineage: Bacteria
Description: bacterial SSU rRNA
Rfam family: Bacterial small subunit ribosomal RNA
Source: RNAcentral